UACGAAGGGGGCUAGCGUUGUUCGGAAUCACUGGGCGUAAAGCACACGUAGGCGGAUCUUUAAGUCAGAGGUGAAAUCCCAAGGCUCAACCUUGGAACUGCCUUUGAUACUGGGGAUCUUGAGUCCGGGAGAGGUGAGUGGAACUGCGAGUGUAGAGGUGAAAUUCGUAGAUAUUCGCAAGAACACCAGUGGCGAAGGCGGCUCACUGGCCCGGUACUGACGCUGAGGUGCGAAAGCGUGGGGAGCAAACAGG
RNAcentral lists this ribosomal RNA (253 nucleotides) under uncultured bacterium. Its description in RNAcentral is "partial 16S ribosomal RNA". It matches the Rfam family "Bacterial small subunit ribosomal RNA", at positions 524 to 776 of the family's 1533-position model. The record is from RNAcentral.